AUGCCACAAAUAUACUCUAACCAGCUAGAGGACAUGGGGGCGCAGAGAACUCUCCUCGCGAGCUUCCUGCUCGCCGCGUUGGCCACCCAGGCCUUCAGGCCGGACUGCGUGCCGUCGCUCGUCCCGCACAACUUCCCCGGCCACGGGGGCACCACCGUGCCGCUUCCCUCGCACGGAGGCUCCUCCGGCACGCCGCCUUACCACGGCGGCUCCGGCUCGACUCCGUCGCACAGCGGCUCCGGCUCGUUGCCUGACUCGUCGCAUGGCGGGUACGGGACGCCGCCUUCGCACGGCGGCUCUGGUUCGUUGCCUGACCCGUCGCACAGCGGAGAAGGUUACAGCUACUGGAGGACGCACCCCAUGCAGACCUGGUCGGCGCUGGGGAGCUGGCCGGGCUCGGUGAGCCACUUCUUCGGUGCCGCCGGCGGCCCGAGCGUGAGCAUCAAGGACGCGCUGGCGAACACGAGGACCGACGGCGCCGGUGCACUGCUGCGUGAGGGCACCCCAGCGCUGCUCAACUCCAUGACCCGCCCGGGGUUCGCCUACACCACCCAGCAGGUGAGGGACGUAUUCGCGGCGGCCGCGGCUGGUGGCUUCGACAGUGCCGCGGCGGCGCAGGCGGCGGCGUUCAAGAAGGCCAACGAGGGGAAGAAGGCAUAG
Molecule: ribosomal RNA, 660 nt
Filed under: Triticum aestivum (bread wheat)
Lineage: Eukaryota; Viridiplantae; Streptophyta; Magnoliopsida; Poales; Poaceae
Description: partial small subunit ribosomal RNA
Source: RNAcentral